Molecule: ribosomal RNA, 458 nt
Filed under: uncultured bacterium
Lineage: Bacteria
Description: partial 16S ribosomal RNA
Rfam family: Bacterial small subunit ribosomal RNA
Source: RNAcentral
CCUACGGGAGGCAGCAGUGGGGAAUAUUGCACAAUGGGGGAAACCCUGAUGCAGCGACGCCGCGUGAGUGAAGAAGUAAUUCGUUACGUAAAGCUCUAUCAGCAGGGACGAAAUACUGACCUUACGGUCAGCAGACGGUACCUGAGUAAGAAGCCCCGGCUAACUACGUGCCAGCAGCCGCGGGAAUACGUAGGGGGCAAGCGUUAUCCGGAUGUACUGGGUGUAAAGGGAGCGUAGACGGUGCGCCAAGUGUGGAGUGAAAUGCCGCAGCUUAACUGCGGAACUGCUUUGGAAAUUGGCGAACUAGAGUGCGGGAGGGGGAAGCGGAAUUCCUAGGGUAGCGGUGAAAUGCGUAGAUAUUAGGAGGAACACCGGUGGCGAAGGCGGCUUACUGGACCGUAACUGACGUUGAGGCUCGAAAGCGUGGGGAGCAAACAGGAUUAGAUACCCUAGUAGUC